AUGCUGAGGGAUCUGGAGAUGGUACUCAACAACAUAGAAAUCGAGUUACUGAAGGGGACCGAGACGGAUUCCAUCAAGGAGCCGGAGAUUGAGAGGGAUUCUGAUUCCGAGUCUGGCGAUGAGAGAGGCGCAGAUUGGUGGGCGUCCCUCAUAAGUAUGGAGCCCCAACCCCAAUUGGGACUCAGCAAGGGGACGGUGAGGGAUUCCAGCAAGGAGCCGGCCAUGGAGAGGGAUGAGAUGAAGGAGACGUUUUCAAGGAAGCACCAAACCCUGGUAAAGGAGCUCAUCUCCGCGGAGAGGGAGCGCAAAGACUUGCUUCUCUCCAUUACACCCACGUUUUCUCUCUGGAAACAAGUGGAUUCUCAAAAAACAUGGCGGAGACAGCCAUGCCCUGCAGCUAGGGAUGAUGGGGAACAAGACCUUGCAGACUACCUCAACUCAAUGCUCCAAGCCAUGGAGGACGUGGGCCAUCGGAUGCUAUCUAUGUUGGAUUUUCUCAACAAAUCUGAUUCUCCAGGGUCCAUCUGCUUGUACAAGGCCAGCGAGCUGCACAGUACAGCUGCCAGAUUAGACAUGCUCAUCUCCAAGGAAUUCAAUACGGACCAGCACCCGGAGACGAUGCAGGUGCAAGAGGAGGAGGAUCUUUCCUUCGACUUGUUGAGUCUUUUCACCAAGUAUUCUCAGUUUCCAAAUAAUUACCACAACACAUUGUCCCAGUUAGUUAUGGAGGAGUAUGAGGAGAAAAAGUAUGAGGUCGCGAAGGUUGAAGAGGAGGAGCAGGACAAGGACGAAUCCACAAUGGAGUAUCUCAAGGAAAGGAUGGACAUCGAGCAACAAUUUCUCGCCUAUGACCGGACAUACUGGGAAGACGUGUGGGGCAGCAGGAUCGGACGUUGCGGUAGAUUUAUGGAUACAACCAUAUUGAGCCCUAUGCAAUUUACACACUACACACCUGGUGGCAUCCAUUCCCCUGCUGCUGUCGCCGGUACUACUCUGCAGAUCUAUUCAGUCAAGAUAAAGGAUUUAAGAGGCUUGAACUGGCCACUCAGAGUGUACGGUGUGAUUGCUGCUCGAGACACUGUGGAUCACAACCGCAACAUUUUAUUCUCUCGGUCAGAGUUUAACUACCAAGAACUCAAUGAACAAGAUCCUUACUUAUGCUUGACUGGUCCGUCUCGUGCCAUUGUUGUUUUGGGACAUAUUGACUUUGAAGUUGAACUUCAAGUAACCGAUGGAGCGCAGUCCCAAACAUUGAUCAGCUGUAGAGAGCGUUACGGCAGUACAGAUGCUUUUUUCUCUUCCUUGGCCAGCGUCACUGAUGGUGGUGAUGGACGGACCUUUUUGCUCUCCAACCAGAGCUGUACAACUGAGGUAACCCUUGGCCAGCUUGAUAGAUCACUCCAAGCUACCAUCAUGGGUGUACGUGUUACCGAAGGGCCUUGGCCUUUUAAGUAUGGAUGCCGAGUUGUUUGCUCGUGGUCUUCUGCUGCUCCGAUAUGUUCCAACGACACCACUUGUAGGCAAGUUGUGCUGUUUGAUCACCGUGGUAAAGGAAUGCGUAGAGGAUCAGAUGGGUACCUUCAUUUGUCAAGGAAAGUGAUUUCCAUAGAAUCAUAUGGGACACUGAGAGUGAGCAUUGAAUCUUAUGGCAAGUCUGGCCGCCAUAUUGCUCGGAAGGAUAGUAUUCACUUUCCUGUUCAGAAGUGUCAAACAAAGACGCUUACUUGUCCAGUUGGUGAUGGUGGCGCCACCGUGGAGGUUACAGUUGCUUGGUCGUUGCUUGUGAAGGAAAAGGUGUAUCUCUCACUCGUUGAUUGUCCUAUGUAA
Molecule: ribosomal RNA, 1827 nt
Filed under: Triticum aestivum (bread wheat)
Lineage: Eukaryota; Viridiplantae; Streptophyta; Magnoliopsida; Poales; Poaceae
Description: partial small subunit ribosomal RNA
Source: RNAcentral